ACUUUUAAAGGAUAAAAGCCAUCCGUUGGUUUUAGGGGCCAUUGACUCUUGGUGCAACUCCAAGUAGAAGUA
This 72-nucleotide transfer RNA is filed under the name Rhinoclemmys punctularia. Its description in RNAcentral is "tRNA-Leu". The record is from RNAcentral. Lineage: Eukaryota; Metazoa; Chordata; Testudines; Geoemydidae.